CUGAAUCCGAGUUCUGGACCGGUCGGCUCGGAAGCCCCUGCUGUCACGUUUUGGUUCCGUUGUGUUAAUUGCCGUGUGGUGGUGACGCGAGCCGCGGCGGCCGGCGGACCGCGUGGUCUUACGAAGCCACCUGCCAUUUCGGAGCCUCCUCUGUGACACGAGGACCUGGUUCCCUGAACAGCGCGGCCGGCAGCUUGGGCCAGGCCCUCGGCGGUCUCGGCGCGUGCCCAGCCCGUGCAGCCCUCUCGGCCCGCACGCGGCUGACUCCAGGCACUGGCUUGUAAGCCGAGGAUAUGGCGACAGGUGAUGAGACGUCACCUUCCUCAUCGCCCUCAAGGACGCUGGCUUCCGUCCCGCCGCCCGCCCACCGCCUGUCCCCUUGGCUCCGACGGAGCCGACGUGGCCAAGAACGGAAGGGGGCCUCACCCCAAACUCCCAGAGGACUAAGUCCCUCCGAAAACUGUGCAGGCGCCGCGGAGACAGACCCUCGCCCCGAGUCUUCGGCUGAGGCCUCGGCCUUACCACCGCCCCCGAUGCCGCUACUGCAGCCCCGUGAGAGGCCCCGAGGAAGUGGGGGUGAGCCACGCCUCAACUCCUGAUGUGCAGACGCGGAGACAUAAACGUUCACUGUUUGAGCUCAGAGAUGAAUACAUUAAUUCAUGGAGAGAUUGGACGACUUGUUCAAAACUUCACAGCCAGGUAACGCCACAGUCGGCCCUAGAACUUGUCUUAGGUUUCUGCAUCAAGCUCUCUGUGGAAUGUAAAAGCUGAUUACUAUGAAUUUUACGGUGAUCAAGGCACUGUGGUGCUGGCUUAAAAACAGACAAAUACACCAUCAGAACAAAAUAGAAUCCAGAAAUAAAACCACACAUGCAUGGUCAACUGAUUUUCAACAAACAUGCCAAGGCAAUUUAACGGGGGAGAGGAAAAUCUUUUCAACAAAUGGUGCUCGGAUAACUGGGCUAAAUGCAUGGAAAAAGUAACAUCUACCCCUACGUCUCACUAUACACACAAAUUAAUUCAAGAUGGAUCAUGAGAUGUAAAAGCUAAAAUUAUAAAUUUUCCAGAAGAAAACAGCGGAGCCUGCCUUUGCGACUUGGAAAAAAAAAAAAAAACAACACAAUAAUUUAUU
Long non-coding RNA from Canis lupus familiaris (dog), 1132 nucleotides. RefSeq lists it as uncharacterized. Lineage: Eukaryota; Metazoa; Chordata; Mammalia; Carnivora; Canidae. The transcript is spliced from 2 exons. The record is from RefSeq and is a predicted model, not a curated record.